GACGAACGCUGGCGGCGUGCUUAACACAUGCAAGUCGAACGGACAGGCCCUGCUUUUGUUGGGUGCUCGAGUGCCGAACGGGUGAGUAACACGUGAGUAACCUGCCCUUGACUUUGGGAUAACUUCAGGAAACUGGGGCUAAUACCGGAUAGGAGCUCCUGCUGCAUGGUGGGGGUUGGAAAGUUUCGGCGGUUGGGGAUGGACUCGCGGCUUAUCAGCUUGUUGGUGGGGUAGUGGCUUACCAAGGCUUUGACGGGUAGCCGGCCUGAGAGGGUGACCGGCCACAUUGGGACUGAGAUACGGCCCAGACUCCUACGGGAGGCAGCAGUGGGGAAUAUUGCACAAUGGGCGGAAGCCUGAUGCAGCAACGCCGCGUGCGGGAUGACGGCCUUCGGGUUGUAAACCGCUUUCGCCUGUGACGAAGCGUGAGUGACGGUAAUGGGUAAAGAAGCACCGGCUAACUACGUG
RNAcentral lists this ribosomal RNA (468 nucleotides) under uncultured bacterium. RNAcentral describes it as "partial 16S ribosomal RNA". It matches the Rfam family "Bacterial small subunit ribosomal RNA", at positions 28 to 507 of the family's 1533-position model. The record is from RNAcentral.